GGGCUGUUAGCUCAGUUGGUAGAGCAGCUGACUCUUAAUCAGCGGGUCGAGGGUUCGAAUCCCUCACAGCCCACCA
Molecule: transfer RNA, 76 nt
Filed under: Immundisolibacteraceae bacterium
Lineage: Bacteria; Pseudomonadati; Pseudomonadota; Gammaproteobacteria; Immundisolibacterales; Immundisolibacteraceae
Description: tRNA-Lys
Rfam family: tRNA
About the family: Transfer RNA (tRNA) molecules are approximately 80 nucleotides in length. Their secondary structure includes four short double-helical elements and three loops (D, anti-codon, and T loops). Further hydrogen bonds mediate the characteristic L-shaped molecular structure. tRNAs have two regions of fundamental functional importance: the anti-codon, which is responsible for specific mRNA codon recognition, and the 3' end, to which the tRNAs corresponding amino acid is attached (by aminoacyl-tRNA synthetases). tRNAs cope with the degeneracy of the genetic code in two manners: having more than one tRNA (with a specific anti-codon) for a particular amino acid; and 'wobble' base-pairing, i.e. permitting non-standard base-pairing at the 3rd anti-codon position.
Source: RNAcentral